Molecule: long non-coding RNA, 555 nt
Organism: Osmia bicornis bicornis
Lineage: Eukaryota; Metazoa; Arthropoda; Insecta; Hymenoptera; Megachilidae
Exons: 5
Source: RefSeq, a predicted model, not a curated record
AGACAAAAGAAAUAUGGCGCACAUGGUUGCACAUGGUGUGAUGGUGGCAGCGUAGGUGAUUGAAUUUCCAGUUUUUUCUAGGUGUUUAGGUUUGUCAAUAACUUCUGCUGAUGAGAUGCAGUAACAGAAGGAGAAGCUAGAAAUUAAAAAGAGGAAGAAACUAUGCAUCAUCAGAGGGUGUAUUCACGAAAACAGCAGGAUGUUCUCCUUCCCCUUAGAGAGAAAGGAUAAGAAGAGGAUGGCACAGUGGGUGGAAGUAUGUGACAACCCAAAGAAAUUCUGAGUGAUCUGUAGUAGAUACUUUAAAGAAAAAUUCUUCAUGAGGAAAAGAUUAACAACAUCAGCAGUUCCAACACUGAACUUACUUGUGUCAGAGGCUACCUCUAUUAAAAUAGAGCAAUAAGACACCUGGAUGCAAUUGAAAAGAAGAAAAAGGAGAUUUUAAACCUGACUACACCAAGGGAGUGGAGAACGUGAUUUUCGAUUGUAUAUUAUUAUUGAUAUAAAUAUAUUUAUUAUAUUUUAGUAAAAAUUUAAUAUAUUUCCAUUACUGCA